GACCCCAUAGGGCGUUUGACUUCGGAUCAAAAGGUCUUGGGUUCGACUCCCACUUUGGUCG
Picea glauca (white spruce) is the source of this 61-nucleotide non-coding RNA. The record is from Rfam. Lineage: Eukaryota; Viridiplantae; Streptophyta; Pinopsida; Pinales; Pinaceae.